This 463-nucleotide ribosomal RNA is filed under the name uncultured bacterium. RNAcentral describes it as "partial 16S ribosomal RNA". It matches the Rfam family "Bacterial small subunit ribosomal RNA", at positions 28 to 507 of the family's 1533-position model. The record is from RNAcentral.
GACGAACGCUGGCGGCACGCCUAACACAUGCAAGUCGAACGGACUUACAAGAGCUUGCUUUUUUAAGUUAGUGGCGGACGGGUGAGUAACACGUGAGCAACCUGCCUCUGAGAGGGGGAUAGCUUCUGGAAACGGAUGGUAAUACCCCAUAAAAUAUAAAUAUCGCAUGAUAGAUAUAUCAAAGAAAUUCGCUCAGAGAUGGGCUCGCGUCUGAUUAGAUAGUUGGUGAGGUAACGGCUCACCAAGUCGACGAUCAGUAGCCGGACUGAGAGGUUGAACGGCCACAUUGGGACUGAGACACGGCCCAGACUCCUACGGGAGGCAGCAGUGGGGAAUAUUGCACAAUGGGGGGAACUCUGAUGCAGCGAUGCCGCGUGGAGGAAGAAGGUUUUCGGAUUGUAAACUCCUUUUAUCAGGGACGAUAAUGACGGUACCUGAAGAAAAAGCUCCGGCUAACUACGUG